RNAcentral lists this ribosomal RNA (466 nucleotides) under uncultured bacterium. RNAcentral's name for it is "partial 16S ribosomal RNA". It matches the Rfam family "Bacterial small subunit ribosomal RNA", at positions 28 to 507 of the family's 1533-position model. The record is from RNAcentral.
GACGAACGCUGGCGGCGCGCCUAACACAUGCAAGUCGAACGAGCGAGCGAGAGCUUGCUUUCUCAAGCGAGUGGCGAACGGGUGAGUAACGCGUGAGGAACCUGCCUCAAAGAGGGGGACAACAGUUGGAAACGACUGCUAAUACCGCAUAAGCCCACAGGUCGGCAUCGACCAGAGGGAAAAGGAGCAAUCCGCUUUGAGAUGGCCUCGCGUCCGAUUAGCUAGUUGGUGAGGUAACGGCCCACCAAGGCAACGAUCGGUAGCCGGACUGAGAGGUUGAACGGCCACAUUGGGACUGAGACACGGCCCAGACUCCUACGGGAGGCAGCAGUGGGGAAUAUUGCACAAUGGGGGAAACCCUGAUGCUGCGACGCCGCGUGGAGGAAGAAGGUCUUCGGAUUGUAAACUCCUGUUGUCGAGGAAGAUAAUGACGGUACUCAACAAGGAAGUGACGGCUAACUACGUG